RNAcentral lists this ribosomal RNA (496 nucleotides) under uncultured bacterium. RNAcentral describes it as "partial 16S ribosomal RNA". It matches the Rfam family "Bacterial small subunit ribosomal RNA", at positions 29 to 507 of the family's 1533-position model. The record is from RNAcentral.
AUGAACGCUGGCGGCGUGCCUAAUACAUGCAAGUCGAGCGAACGGACGAGAAGCUUGCUUCUCUGAUGUUAGCGGCGGACGGGUGAGUAACACGUGGAUAACCUACCUAUAAGACUGGGAUAACUUCGGGAAACCGGAGCUAAUACCGGAUAAUAUUUUGAACCGCAUGGUUCAAAAGUGAAAGACGGUCUUGCCGUCACUUAUAGAUUGAUCCGCGCUGCAUUAGCUAGUUGGUAAGGUAACGGCUUACCAAGGCAACGAUGCAUAGCCGACCUGAGAGGGUGAUCGGCCACACUGGAACUGAGACACGGUCCAGACUCCUACGGGAGGCAGCAGUAGGGAAUCUUCCGCAAUGGGCGAAAGCCUGACGGAGCAACGCCGCGUGAGUGAUGAAGGUCUUCGGAUCGUAAAACUCUGUUAUUAGGGAAGAACAUAUGUGUAAGUAACUGUGCACAUCUUGACGGUACCUAAUCAGAAAGCCACGGCUAACUACGUG